This 127-nucleotide ribosomal RNA is filed under the name Actinomycetota bacterium. RNAcentral's name for it is "Actinobacteria bacterium partial 23S ribosomal RNA". It matches the Rfam family "Bacterial large subunit ribosomal RNA", at positions 2804 to 2925 of the family's 2925-position model. The record is from RNAcentral. Lineage: Bacteria; Bacillati; Actinomycetota.
AUAAGUGUUCCCAUGCGGUUAGCGCAGUAAGGCCCGUGGCGAGACCACCACGUUGAUAGGCCGGAAGUGUAAGCGUAGUAAUACGUUCAGCUGACCGGUACUAAUCGGCCGAGGGCUUGGUUAGAUA